UAUCACGCGAUUGCGUGCUCCUGCGCACGAACGUUAAUCUAUUGAAGCGUGUUCCAGAGCACGAUAGUCCGACUUUUUGCGUGCUACACAGAACAAAAUGUAAACCAAUGCGAGCAAGGUACGUUUUAUUACUCUGUUUUCUGGGAAUAAUUGACAUAAGCAGAAACCAUAAACCAGCCGUUUUUUCGUUUUUUCGUUUUGUCCAAAAAAACGAAAAUCAAAAUUUCUGUUCGUUUAUUCGUUUUUUGGUUCUUUUUAACAAAACGGAUUUACCACUCAAUAUCUGGUUUCCGCCGGUGGGCGGGUCCUCUUAUGGCGAAUGUGCUUCGUUGCCCUGUGCUCUUCAAAAUAAAAACAAGAGAAUAGAUGGCUAGAUAAAAUAAACAUCAAGACAUACAAUUCUAAAAAGAACAGAUGAAGCAGCUACUCUUUUUUCCUUCGCGGUUUGCCUACAGAGCAGCGUACCUGCAUUUAAUAUAUCCGUGUAUUGUCACAAUUUCUCAGUAUCAUAGGUGAAAGUAGAAACGGGUGGCCAAAAGCUGUCAUAUUGUUAGUUAUCAUAGACAGUUUUAAAUAGAAACGGGUGGCCAAAAGCUGUCAUUUGUUAGUCAUCACAGACAAUUUUCAACAAUGAAUGAUCUGUACGGAGCUCCAUAAGGGACAUUAGGGAGAACGCUCCCGGACAGAACCUUAGUUUGGAAGUCAUGCUUAGUGACACGACAAAUAGCCUACUUCCAAUUGAAAUACAACAUUUAGAAAAUAGGCCUACGUGUCCCUGAUCACGUUUCGAAUGAUUAAAUAACGUGACAGUGUCACGUAUUUUCGUGAGACCAGGUUCGAGCUUGUGCAUGGGUUGAAUUGCGUGUGCCUCACGCCGAAUGCAUGAGAGCCCUGUAAUUACGUGACACAAACCAGCACCGCAAACGUUCUCUCCCUCUUGAGAUGACGUCUUUCUUUAUAGGUUCAUGGGUCUGAUUCGCCGAUUUCCCAUGCUGAUACCCCCGGAGAUUCUCGGGCAUCUUCGACAAUUUGGCUAUAGAUUGUCUCAUUACACUCUAAAU
Molecule: long non-coding RNA, 1061 nt
Filed under: Gadus morhua (Atlantic cod)
Lineage: Eukaryota; Metazoa; Chordata; Actinopteri; Gadiformes; Gadidae
Description: lncRNA (ENSGMOG00000034424.1)
Source: RNAcentral